Molecule: long non-coding RNA, 977 nt
Organism: Lotus japonicus
Lineage: Eukaryota; Viridiplantae; Streptophyta; Magnoliopsida; Fabales; Fabaceae
Exons: 3
Source: RefSeq, a predicted model, not a curated record
GGAGUGUUGAAGAUUUCGUGUGUUUAGCACCUCACUCUAACCGCUUCUCCUGCCGGCGCCUCUUUAAGAAGAAUCCUUACAUUUUGGGCCUCACUGCUGUCGCUAGCAUUGGUGGACUCUUCUUUGGCUACGACACAGGAGCCUUCUGUAUAUCAAAGAUGAUUUUGAGGAGUUCAGAGACAUUUAUUUGCUACAGCAACUCUCUUCCAAAUUUCUGAAGAAGGUCCAUCCAUAGUGUUGAUUGGGCAAUUGUUGGAGUCAUGGAUCUUUGAAGCCAUGCCAUCACCAUUGUAUUCCAUCACUGCCACACUGGAAUCAGUGCUCGCGGGAGAAGGUAAGCUUCCAUCAAUAAAGGCGGUUUUGUUCUUCGAAACAGUGUCAUUCGCAUGGAACUGAUCAUACAUGAUAGUUUUUCUCAUUUAAUUGAGGUUAUGCUAGAACAAAUGCUGGAUUUUCAGCAUUAUAGAGGUAGUAAGUAUUAACAAGGUAAUCCUGAUACUGAUUUGCCAUUCUUUUUUUUUUCCCUAAAGAACAACCAAUAUAUUAGAUGUGAAAAGACUUGAGACCAGCAUCUCAAGUAGGCAGGGAAAAAAGAAAGAAAGAAAAGGAUCAAGAGGAUCUCGAUCCGAAAAGGGCACUAAGCGGGAUCACCCUGAUUUACCAUUCUUGAAUCAAAGAAUCAAAUAAAAGGAACAUAAAUUGAAGAAAAAGGGCAAGUAUCGAAGAAGAUGAACAAGAAGAUUGAAGCAUACUAAAAUAGAUAAAUAUACACUGUCGGCGUAAAACAGUUUUACACUGACAACCAAUCACAACAUGCCACGUAGGAGAAAUAAUAACUUUUGUUUUAAAGUUUAAUUAAAACAAAUCUAUAUUUGAUGAUGUGGUGGAAUUCAAUUUGUAUAAAACAAAUGUAUAUUUGAUGAUGUGCACACUCAUUUAAUUUUUUUUUUUUAACAAAUAGAUAGAUAUUCAAUCAA